UGCCUCACUUUUUUUUUGUGUUGCUAGUCCAUUCCAGUUAGUUUAGAGUUCACUGGUUACGAAUUGAACAUUGAGCGUCUUCAGGGAUACACUGCUCCAAUGACUCGAGUGACUCGAGCUAGGUGACCCGCGUUUCAUGGGAGCUUUUGACAGUUCAUCACCCGGUCGCCAUCUUUGAUUUUUCUAGCCCGGGUCAGGAAUCGUGACCCGACCAAAUAGUACGGGCUACGAAGUUCUAGCUCGAGUCACCCGGAAUCGGAGCGCUCCUAUUGGUUGAAAGUUUCGCGUCGUCUGCUCGGUCUGCAGUCAAGUAAACAACACAUAAGUAAAUGCAAAUAUGGAGGAUUAUUACGAAUACAAACAUGAGUUUGUUUUUGAAGGCAUAUUUUAUAAAAUAAUUAGAAAGGAGGAAAUUUACACAUUAUUGGCUGGCAGCUUGGACUUCUUCAGUCCUAUCUGAAUCUGAAACAAAACUAUGGCCACAUCGAGAUGGCUGGUUUAGCAGCAGAAGUCACCACAGAGGGUCAUGUGUGGACUAAUGAUGCAACAAAAGUGAAAUUUAUUUGGGAUUAAAAGUUAACAGACCGUUGUGCAACCCGGUGAUAAUCUUGUAUUAAAGGAAGUUCUUAUGUAGCAA
Molecule: long non-coding RNA, 637 nt
Organism: Nilaparvata lugens (brown planthopper)
Lineage: Eukaryota; Metazoa; Arthropoda; Insecta; Hemiptera; Delphacidae
Exons: 3
Source: RefSeq, a predicted model, not a curated record